Long non-coding RNA from Frankliniella occidentalis (western flower thrips), 655 nucleotides. RefSeq lists it as uncharacterized. NCBI's taxonomy places the organism in Eukaryota, Metazoa, Arthropoda, Insecta, Thysanoptera, Thripidae. The record is from RefSeq and is a predicted model, not a curated record. The transcript is spliced from 5 exons.
GCCUCCAGGUCCUUCCCUUCCGCGUCGAUUCGAUCGUCACUCCGAUUCGCGCCGCCCGGCCGCGCGCCGGCGCGAUGCUCCGCUGUGCGUCACGGCGUCACCGAGGUGCGGCGGCGUCAACAACAACAAUCACGGUGUCCCCCGCGUAAUGCGGGAUGCAGCACCAGCAGCGCCGCCAACUGUGUGGCCAAACAGACUUCGCACACCUAGUAUGAGACCUUCAGCAAACUCGCCUGGUCCCUGAAUUGCUCCCUGGAAAUCGAAUUUACUGAUAGCUAUAGCCUCCGUCCGAAAGGGUCAUGAAAGGAAAUGGAAUGGACUGGACCAGACCGAUGAGAGUUCGGAGCCAUAAAAAACUUACCCAUCGACACUGAAAAAUAGUUCACUAGUUGGAGUGUACACAGCUUUAAGGGCAAUUUUACAAUUACCUGGAUAAUGCUGCGAAGAGAAACAAUGAAACCUCCAUCUUCAACUUGAACCUCUGACACUAAGCCCCACUGCAAAGGUGACUCCUACACGAAGGAUACGCUCUUGAACUGUUCCACCAGAGCUGCUUUUCAGAGCCAAAGCAUCUCUUCCAUGAGCAUCACCUUCUUUAAGUUCUAGCUCAGCCUUCCCGCCACUUUCUAGAACAACUGUAGCAAUUCCGCUGCUU